UCCGUAGGUGGAUAAUUAAGUCAGGGGUGAAAGUCUGCAGCUCAACUGUAGAAUUGCCUUUGAUACUGGUUAUCUUGAAUUAUUAUGAAGUAGUUAGAAUAUGUAGUGUAGCGGUGAAAUGCAUAGAUAUUACAUAGAAUACCAAUUGCGAAGGCAGAUUACUAAUAAUGUACUGACACUGAGGGACGAAAGCGUGGGGAGCGAACAGGAUUAGAUACCCUGGUAGUCC
RNAcentral lists this ribosomal RNA (229 nucleotides) under uncultured bacterium. RNAcentral's name for it is "partial 16S ribosomal RNA". It matches the Rfam family "Bacterial small subunit ribosomal RNA", at positions 568 to 796 of the family's 1533-position model. The record is from RNAcentral.